UAUAUACUCCCUCUGAUCCAUAUUAAUUGUCAUUCAAACGGAUGUAUCUAGCACUGAAAUACGUCUAGAUACAUCCAUUUCAGUGAUAACUAAUAUGGAUCAGAGGGAGUAACAU
This is a non-coding RNA of Triticum aestivum (bread wheat), 115 nucleotides long. The record is from Rfam. NCBI's taxonomy places the organism in Eukaryota, Viridiplantae, Streptophyta, Magnoliopsida, Poales, Poaceae.